Molecule: ribosomal RNA, 253 nt
Filed under: uncultured bacterium
Lineage: Bacteria
Description: partial 16S ribosomal RNA
Rfam family: Bacterial small subunit ribosomal RNA
Source: RNAcentral
UACGGGGGGGGCAAGCGUUGUUCGGAAUUACUGGGCGUAAAGGGUCUGUAGGUGGUCUGCUAAGUCAGACGUGAAAUCCCUCAGCUUAACUGGGGAACUGCGUCUGAUACUGGCGGACUUGAGGGCAGGAGAGGAACGCGGAAUUCCAGGUGUAGCGGUGAAAUGCGUAGAUAUCGGAAGGAACACCAGUGGCGAAAGCGGCUUCCUGGUCCAGCACCGACGUUCAGGCACGAAAGCGUGGGGAGCAAACAGG